This 164-nucleotide small nuclear RNA is filed under the name Choloepus hoffmanni (Hoffmann's two-fingered sloth). RNAcentral describes it as "U1 spliceosomal RNA (ENSCHOG00000014781.1)". It matches the Rfam family "U1 spliceosomal RNA". From Rfam's summary of the family: U1 is a small nuclear RNA (snRNA) component of the spliceosome (involved in pre-mRNA splicing). Its 5' end forms complementary base pairs with the 5' splice junction, thus defining the 5' donor site of an intron. There are significant differences in sequence and secondary structure between metazoan and yeast U1 snRNAs, the latter being much longer (568 nucleotides as compared to 164 nucleotides in human). Lineage: Eukaryota; Metazoa; Chordata; Mammalia; Pilosa; Megalonychidae. The record is from RNAcentral.
AUACUUACCUGGCAGGAGAGAUACCAUGAUCAUGAAGUUGGUUUUCCUAGGGCGAGGCUUAUCCAUUGCACUCCGGACGUGCUGACCCCUGCGAUUUCCCCAAAUCUGGGAAACUUGACUGCAUAAUUUGUGGUAGUGGCGGACUGCAUUCGCACUCUCCCCUA